GACGAACGCUGGCGGCGUGCCUAAUACAUGCAAGUCGAGCGAAUUUUUGGGAGCUUGCUCCCGAAACGUUAGCGGCGGACGGGUGAGUAACACGUGGGCAACCUGCCUAUAAGACUGGGAUAGCUUCGGGAAACCGGAGCUAAUACCGGAUAAUUCUUUUCUUACACAUGUAGGAAAGACUGAAAGAACGGUUUACGUCUGUCACUUAUAGAUGGGCCCGCGGCGCAUUAGCUAGNGGUUGAGGUAACGGCUCACCAAGGCCACCGAUGCGUAGCCGACCUGAGAGGGUGGAUCGGCC
RNAcentral lists this ribosomal RNA (298 nucleotides) under uncultured bacterium. Its description in RNAcentral is "partial 16S ribosomal RNA". It matches the Rfam family "Bacterial small subunit ribosomal RNA", at positions 28 to 309 of the family's 1533-position model. The record is from RNAcentral.